GCUCAGAUUGAACGCUAGCGGGAUGCCUUACACAUGCAAGUCGAACGGCAGCACGGACUUCGGUCUGGUGGCGAGUGGCGAACGGGUGAGUAAUGUAUCGGAACGUGCCUAGUAGCGGGGGAUAACUACGCGAAAGCGUAGCUAAUACCGCAUACGCCCUACGGGGGAAAGCAGGGGAUCGCAAGACCUUGCACUAUUAGAGCGGCCGAUAUCGGAUUAGCUAGUUGGUGGGGUAACGGCUCACCAAGGCGACGAUCCGUAGCUGGUUUGAGAGGACGACCAGCCACACUGGGACUGAGACACGGCCCAGACUCCUACGGGAGGCAGCAGUGGGGAAUUUUGGACAAUGGGGGAAACCCUGAUCCAGCCAUCCCGCGUGUGCGAUGAAGGCCUUCGGGUUGUAAAGCACUUUUGGCAGGAAAGAAACGUCAUGGGUUAAUACCCCGUGAAACUGACGGUACCUGCAGAAUAAGCACCGGCUAACUACGUGCCAGCAGCCGCGGUAAUACGUAGGGUGCAAGCGUUAAUCGGAAUUACUGGGCGUAAAGCGUGCGCAGGCGGUUCGGAAAGAAAGAUGUGAAAUCCCAGAGCUUAACUUUGGAACUGCAUUUUUAACUACCGAGCUAGAGUGUGUCAGAGGGAGGUGGAAUUCCGCGUGUAGCAGUGAAAUGCGUAGAUAUGCGGAGGAACACCGAUGGCGAAGGCAGCCUCCUGGGAUAAC
Molecule: ribosomal RNA, 721 nt
Filed under: Achromobacter sp. 110518_136_C_H10
Lineage: Bacteria; Pseudomonadati; Pseudomonadota; Betaproteobacteria; Burkholderiales; Alcaligenaceae
Also listed under: 2 other names
Description: bacterial SSU rRNA
Rfam family: Bacterial small subunit ribosomal RNA
Source: RNAcentral